CUUUCAUUACCUUUUCACCAUUUUAACCAAACAUCAUACACUCUCUCAUUCCAUCACUUAUCAUACCAAAUUAUGCCAGAACCCUUUAGUUCAUAGAUUGAGUCAGAAUCAGAAAUUGAAUGGCUUGCAGAACAAAGUCGACGGCUCGCAGAACAUCGAUGGGUCACAGAUAUGGUCUCCAUCCAUUUGAUAAUACAUAUCUGUUACUCGUGGACUAUGUUCCUCGACCCACCGACUAUGUAUCUGACCAAAACUAGCGCCGCCCGAUAUACGAUGAAUAGACACGAUCUGAGAAUCCCCAGGAUCCUCAUAAAGAUGAUCUUCUCCGGAUCCUCUUGGGCCAAAUAUUGGAUUUUUGGAGAUGACAUUCCCCAUUUCUUCAUCCAAAAGCUCUCUCCCACUUCCCGAUCGGAAAACCACCAUUGUAAGGUAAACUUUCUCAAUUUCUGAUCAAAUUUUGUAGUUUUUGAAAAUGUAUUUCUUUCUUUUUUCACAAAGUAUAUUAUUUAUGGGAUUUUGUUAACUGUUAAUCGUUGGUGAUUAGUAAGGAAAAUGAAGCAAAUGAUACUUUCGAGUAUGGAUCGUUUACUUGGAGGAUCGAUGACUUCUCUAAGCUCAAGGACAACAUACAUUGCUCCCAAACUUUCAACAUUGCUGAACUCAAAUAACUGACUACGCUGAAGACAUCCAUUGAUAUCUUUGAAUUAAUUGGAUUCAACCAAUAUCUCUCCUGACAAUUGAGCUACUUCACAGAAGUUAUUGUUCUGCAUGCAUAUCCUAUGACUCUUGAGAUUUGUAACUUCAAUUGUUCUGCAUGUGUGUAUAAAGAUGCGACUAAUUAGGGUUUUAACUAGUGAACAAAAUGGAAAUUGUGCGUAUGACUAUGAAGAGCGUUGAAUCUUUUACAUGAGUGGGUGAAAAUUUAUGGUUAAAUUAAAAAUGUAUCUACAUCUAUAGGUUUGUUUUUGUGAAUAAAGAACAUUAG
RNAcentral lists this long non-coding RNA (985 nucleotides) under Malus domestica (apple). RNAcentral describes it as "long non-coding RNA (MDOM_LNC007132)". The record is from RNAcentral. Lineage: Eukaryota; Viridiplantae; Streptophyta; Magnoliopsida; Rosales; Rosaceae.